RNAcentral lists this ribosomal RNA (497 nucleotides) under uncultured bacterium. RNAcentral's name for it is "partial 16S ribosomal RNA". It matches the Rfam family "Bacterial small subunit ribosomal RNA", at positions 28 to 507 of the family's 1533-position model. The record is from RNAcentral.
GAUGAACGCUGGCGGCGUGCCUAAUACAUGCAAGUCGAGCGAACGGACGAGAAGCUUGCUUCUCUGAUGUUAGCGGCGGACGGGUGAGUAACACGUGGAUAACCUACCUAUAAGACUGGGAUAACUUCGGGAAACCGGAGCUAAUACCGGAUAAUAUUUUGAACCGCAUGGUUCAAAAGUGAAAGACGGUCUUGCUGUCACUUAUCGAUGGAUCCGCGCUGCAUUAGCUAGUUGGUAAGGUAACGGCUUACCAAGGCAACGAUGCAUAGCCGACCUGAGAGGGUGAUCGGCCACACUGGAACUGAGACACGGUCCGGACUCCUACGGGAGGCAGCAGUAGGGAAUCUUCCGCAAUGGGCGAAAGCCUGACGGAGCAACGCCGCGUGAGUGAUGAAGGUCUUCGGAUCGUAAAACUCUGUUAUUAGGGAAGAACAUAUGUGUAAGUAACUGUGCACAUCUUGACGGUACCUAAUCAGAAAGCCACGGCUAACUACGUG